ACUCGGGCCACGCAGCUGGAACCUGGAAAUUAGGAUUGGAAUCCUGAACUCCUAAAUCCAAACUACAGACUGGAAGUUACCAAAAAAUGUCACAGUGGUUCCUUGAUCAGGUAGAAAGAUGACAGAGCCCAACAUACCAGAACCUAGAAAGGAGGCGAAGGAGGCGGUCUAGAGGGAAGAGCACUUUGGUCAAAGGAUCAGGUGCAUAAAUGCGGAGGAAUGAGGAUGCCCGGCUUGCUGGAGGAUCAAGGGAAGGUAAGAGGGGUAGGUGAAGUCAGGAAGGAAGCGGGUAAGGGAGUGGGGGUGGAUCUUGGGGGCUUCACAGGUUAUUUUCAAGACUGGCUUUUACUUUCAAGACUGGAAUAGAGGAAUUAACAGAAAAAGGGUCUCAUUCCAGACCCAAGAGCAGGUUCUUAGACGUCCACGGCAAAGAAUCAGGGCAAGUCGCAGAGCAUAGUAGUUAAAAUAGUUCAUUAGAAACUACUCCAUUUCUAAUAAUAGUACUACUGUGUUUCUGAGUAGUAUCCUUGCUUUGAAGUAGUACUAAGCAAGUAUUGUUUAUAUAGGAGCACCUCUGCCUUCAAUGUAAUGCUUGCUUUUAUAGGGCUAAAACUAGCGUACUUCAUUACAAAAGCCUAUGAUCAGCUUGUUACAGACUAUUAGUAUUGUUAUUCUCUUGUGUAACUAUUGACUUCAGGGAGAAUUUAUGGGUGUACUGUUAUCUUUAAAGUGAAACUCAUUUUUAAACUAAGAAUGCCUUUUUCCAUUAUCUCAUUUCCUCAACCAUAAACAUCUUGUGAAGAGUGCCUAUCUUCCUGGGAAAGUCGCCCAGCAGGUUUGGCUUUAUCUGACCUUUAUUCAAGAUGGAAUCACUCUGGUUAGGACACUUCUGACAUAAUUCCCUCCUCCUUUUUACAAGGAGACCUUUAAUCCUAAGGGGUGCAGGGGGACAGAGAUCCAUCUUCAGUAACUUCAAGCUGAACAGAAGCGAUGAUAUUCCUGCCUAACCAUUAGGAUCCCUUUGCCCAAAGUAGAGAGCUAGCCAGUCAGAAAGCAUCUGUAUAGUGAGGACCAAUCAUACAUAAUUCUAAGUCCCAGAAAAAGGUGAAAUCUAGAAAAUUAACGUGUUAAAUUUAAAGAAGCAUUGAAUAAGCUUAACUCUUAUUCCUACAUAAAAAGUACAAUGCAGUAUAUUCCACAGCACAAAACAGAAUGAAUAGAAUUAUCCCAAGCAUGCUAAACAAAAAAAGUUUCCCAAGGACUAGGCAGUUGUUAGAACCAAGCUGAUAUGGGGUCAACUGACAGCGUGUCAAUGGCAGAGAUGUGGGUGUCUAAGUCUUUUGUGGCCUGAGUAACAUUAUGUGAAUAGUCUGGAAUGUAUGCAUAACAUUCUGUUUUGAUUAUAGCAUAAGUUCCCCCUUUGAGCUGCUGUUAACAUGUCCAGAGCCAUAGUUUCAUAAGGCUAUCUGUCUAAUUUGAGAUGUUUCUUCAGUCAAGAGGGUAAGGGCAUGGCGUGUAUUAUUGAAAACUGCAGCUGUGUUUAGCUAUGGCUUUGGCUUGAAGCUCAAUGUCAAUUGUGGCUGCCUGUGGGGAGAAGACAGUGUCAGGCCUCUGAGCUGAAGCUCAGCCAUUGUAACCCUUGUGACCUGCACCUAUAAGUCCAGAUGGCCUGCAGGAGCCAAGAAGUCUGGAGCAGCCAAAAAAACACAAAAGAAGUGCAACAAAAG
RNAcentral lists this long non-coding RNA (1727 nucleotides) under Homo sapiens (human). RNAcentral describes it as "HSALNT0298120". The record is from RNAcentral. Lineage: Eukaryota; Metazoa; Chordata; Mammalia; Primates; Hominidae.